RNAcentral lists this ribosomal RNA (492 nucleotides) under uncultured bacterium. RNAcentral describes it as "partial 16S ribosomal RNA". It matches the Rfam family "Bacterial small subunit ribosomal RNA", at positions 29 to 507 of the family's 1533-position model. The record is from RNAcentral.
AGUGAACGCUGGCGGUAGGCCUAACACAUGCAAGUCGAACGGCAGCACAGUAAGAGCUUGCUCUUACGGGUGGCGAGUGGCGGACGGGUGAGGAAUACAUCGGAAUCUACUUUUUCGUGGGGGAUAACGUAGGGAAACUUACGCUAAUACCGCAUACGACCUACGGGUGAAAGCAGGGGAUCUUCGGACCUUGCGCGAUUGAAUGAGCCGAUGUCGGAUUAGCUAGUUGGCGGGGUAAAGGCCCACCAAGGCGACGAUCCGUAGCUGGUCUGAGAGGAUGCUCAGCCACACUGGAACUGCGACACGGUCCAGACUCCUACGGGAGGCAGCAGUGGGGAAUAUUGGACAAUGGGCGCAAGCCUGAUCCAGCCAUACCGCGUGGGUGAAGAAGGCCUUCGGGUUGUAAAGCCCUUUUGUUGGGAAAGAAAAGCAGCAGGUUAAUACCCCGCUGUUCUGACGGUACCCAAAGAAUAAGCACCGGCUAACUUCGUG